This 203-nucleotide ribosomal RNA is filed under the name uncultured bacterium. RNAcentral's name for it is "partial 16S ribosomal RNA". It matches the Rfam family "Bacterial small subunit ribosomal RNA", at positions 1129 to 1331 of the family's 1533-position model. The record is from RNAcentral.
GGGUGGGCACUCUAGGAUGACUGCCGGUGACAAACCGGAGGAAGGUGGGGAUGACGUCAAAUCAUCAUGCCCCUUAUGACCUGGGCUACACACGUACUACAAUGGUCGGUACAACGGGAAGCGAAGCCGCGAGGUGGAGCCAAUCCUUAUAAGCCGAUCUCAGUUCGGAUUGCAGGCUGCAACUCGCCUGCAUGAAGUCGGAA